UGGGGAAUCUUAGACAAUGGGCGCAAGCCUGAUCUAGCCAUGCCGCGUGAGCGAUGAAGGCCUUAGGGUUGUAAAGCUCUUCCAGUGGGGAAGAUAAUGACUGUACCCACAGAAGAAGCCCCGGCUAACUCCGUGCCAGCAGCCGCGGUAAUACGGAGGGGGCUCGCGUUGUUCGGAAUUACUGGGCGUAAAGCGCACGUAGGCGGACCAGAAAGUAGGGGGUGAAAUCCCGGGGCUCAACAUCGGAAAUGCCUUCUAAACUCCUGGUCUUGAGUUCGAGAGAGGUGAGUGGAAUACCGAGUGUAGAGGUGAAAUUCGUAGAUAUUCGGAGGAACACCAGUGGCGAAGGCGGCUCACUGGCUCGAUACUGACGCUGAGGUGCGAAAGCGUGGGGAGCAAAAA
This 402-nucleotide ribosomal RNA is filed under the name uncultured bacterium. Its description in RNAcentral is "bacterial SSU rRNA". It matches the Rfam family "Bacterial small subunit ribosomal RNA", at positions 355 to 774 of the family's 1533-position model. The record is from RNAcentral.